Molecule: ribosomal RNA, 33 nt
Filed under: Psilosiphon scoparius
Lineage: Eukaryota; Rhodophyta; Florideophyceae; Batrachospermales; Psilosiphonaceae
Description: partial 18S ribosomal RNA
Source: RNAcentral
UUCCGUAGGUGAACCUGCGGAAGGAUCAUUCAU